UCCCUGAUGGUCUAGUGGUUAGGACUUGGCACUUUCACUGCUGCGGCCCAGGUUCAAUCCCUGGUCUGGGAA
RNAcentral lists this transfer RNA (72 nucleotides) under Sus scrofa (pig). RNAcentral describes it as "tRNA-Glu (TTC) (tRNA-Glu-TTC-6-1)". It matches the Rfam family "tRNA". Rfam says of the family: Transfer RNA (tRNA) molecules are approximately 80 nucleotides in length. Their secondary structure includes four short double-helical elements and three loops (D, anti-codon, and T loops). Further hydrogen bonds mediate the characteristic L-shaped molecular structure. tRNAs have two regions of fundamental functional importance: the anti-codon, which is responsible for specific mRNA codon recognition, and the 3' end, to which the tRNAs corresponding amino acid is attached (by aminoacyl-tRNA synthetases). tRNAs cope with the degeneracy of the genetic code in two manners: having more than one tRNA (with a specific anti-codon) for a particular amino acid; and 'wobble' base-pairing, i.e. permitting non-standard base-pairing at the 3rd anti-codon position. Lineage: Eukaryota; Metazoa; Chordata; Mammalia; Artiodactyla; Suidae. The record is from Rfam by way of RNAcentral.